RNAcentral lists this transfer RNA (88 nucleotides) under Dehalococcoidales bacterium. Its description in RNAcentral is "tRNA-Leu". It matches the Rfam family "tRNA". From Rfam's summary of the family: Transfer RNA (tRNA) molecules are approximately 80 nucleotides in length. Their secondary structure includes four short double-helical elements and three loops (D, anti-codon, and T loops). Further hydrogen bonds mediate the characteristic L-shaped molecular structure. tRNAs have two regions of fundamental functional importance: the anti-codon, which is responsible for specific mRNA codon recognition, and the 3' end, to which the tRNAs corresponding amino acid is attached (by aminoacyl-tRNA synthetases). tRNAs cope with the degeneracy of the genetic code in two manners: having more than one tRNA (with a specific anti-codon) for a particular amino acid; and 'wobble' base-pairing, i.e. permitting non-standard base-pairing at the 3rd anti-codon position. Lineage: Bacteria; Bacillati; Chloroflexota; Dehalococcoidia; Dehalococcoidales. The record is from RNAcentral.
GCCGGAGUGGCGGAAUGGCAGACGCGGCAGUCUCAAAAACUGUUGAGGGGUAACCCUCGUGUCGGUUCGAGUCCGACCUUCGGCACCA